This 439-nucleotide ribosomal RNA is filed under the name uncultured bacterium. Its description in RNAcentral is "partial 16S ribosomal RNA". It matches the Rfam family "Bacterial small subunit ribosomal RNA", at positions 354 to 796 of the family's 1533-position model. The record is from RNAcentral.
GUGGGGGAUAUUGCACAAUGGGGGAAACCCUGAUGCAGCGACGCCGCGUGAGUGAAGAAGUAUUUCGGUAUGUAAAGCUCUAUCAGCAGGGAAGAAAGACCCGCAAGGGGGAUGACGGUACCUGAGUAAGAAGCCCCGGCUAACUACGUGCCAGCAGCCGCGGUAAUACGUAGGGGGCAAGCGUUAUCCGGAUUUACUGGGUGUAAAGGGAGCGCAGACGGUUAUGCAAGUCUGGAGUGAAAACCCACAGCUCAACUGUGGGCUUGCUUUGGAAACUGUGUAACUGGAGUACUGGAGAGGUAAGCGGAAUUCCUAGUGUAGCGGUGAAAUGCGUAGAUAUUAGGAGGAACACCGGUGGCGAAGGCGGCUUACUGGACAGCAACUGACGUUGAGGCUCGAAGGCGUGGGGAGCAAACAGGAUUAGAAACCCCUGUAGUCC